This is a non-coding RNA of Paramuricea clavata, 1359 nucleotides long. The record is from the annotation of a GenBank genome assembly. Lineage: Eukaryota; Metazoa; Cnidaria; Anthozoa; Malacalcyonacea; Plexauridae.
CACGUUUGUCACCUUCAAACCUAGUUAUAAUCUCAUAGUAACAGGAUAAGCUUGUCAACAGCCACAAAAAGGCGAUAUCCAAUAGUCCAAAGUUCAAAUGUUUCUCUGGGCAUGUGUAAAACCGAAUGAAAGAUCAACUGACCAAUCAUAUGUCAACAACGAACACUCAGAACAAAGGUCAAUGUGAUAAGGGAGUUCACUUUGACAAAUAUCCCAACAAAGAGCAAUGUCUUGUUACCGAGAAAGAAAAUUUGAAAAUUUGACUUGGUGCGGAGCUGUAAAGAAUUACGGACAUCGAAUGAACUGAGACAAUGUGACAGAAAAGAGUUUAUGAACGCUGGAAUUGACAUACCAUGGUUAUAUUAAAGAAAAUUUGGUCAGUAACUCAGUAUGAUAAUUCAGUGAGACGCAGUUUAUUCAAAUAGAACUCUACCGGACAAGCGCUUUUACUCUUCUGGUGGACAAAGGAAUACGUUGGCCCAAGUCCCGACGAAGUUAUUACUAUUAAAUGAAACCGCCGCUGGGGGAAUAACAACAAGAUCGAUAGGCUAAAGCCGCUAAACACGAAAUCAACAAGCGUUCAAUUGAUACCAUUCCAUUUCUCAAUGCACAUGCUUCCUAAAGUGAAGCGGUAUUCGGCGCGUAAGUAUGCGGUGCAUUGACUGUCAGACACGUUUGUUUCGUAUUCCGCAUCUCAAACCAACCAAAAUAUAUUAAAAUUCGUCUAUUUUAUAACAACAUUCUGGUGUAUUUAUAUUUGUCGAUCAAAAAUUCCAAUGACAAUUUUAUUACUACCUUGAGGUUAGCCGCAGAGUAAAGGCUUCAGAUUACGCCUCAGAUUUGGCGUUGGAUUGGGUUUCAAUCAGGCCUUACAUUAAACUGUAUUCAAUCGCUCAAAAGUAGAAUUAUAAAACUUCUUUUUUAGCUAUUUCACAAAAUUAAUUUGACCUGCAUACAUUUUCAAUACUUUACUGUUCAAAACUUAAGAAAGCAAGCUCAUUUGUGAACGAAAUUUGAGACUUAAAACUCUGCACAUGACACAUGUUUAUGCACAUUUGCGAUAAAUCGGCAAGAUGGAUAUCAGGAAAGAUUGGUACGAUACCAUGUAUGCCUACGCUUUUGAAAAUUGAAAAUCCUUUGAUGUACCAUUAUUUACUGCAUAUAAUCUAUUUUGACUACCACAUACAUAUUCUUACAAUUUCUUUCUGCUAAUAUCAUGCAUGCAUGAUCGGAUGUUCGAUCGCAAAAUUUUGGUCUUGCUAUUUUGAAUUAAAGUAAUGAAUAAGCUAUUUUUCUGAGAGUAAUGUCACAUAAUUCGAGAAAGUUCCACUGAUCAUAAUUGAAAUAAAAUAAGUGUGG